RNAcentral lists this ribosomal RNA (465 nucleotides) under uncultured bacterium. Its description in RNAcentral is "partial 16S ribosomal RNA". It matches the Rfam family "Bacterial small subunit ribosomal RNA", at positions 28 to 507 of the family's 1533-position model. The record is from RNAcentral.
GACGAACGCUGGCGGCGUGCUUAACACAUGCAAGUCGAACGGAAAGGCCCCUUUGGGGGUACUCGAGUGGCGAACGGGUGAGUAACACGUGAGUAACCUGCCCUUGACUUCGGGAUAACUUCAGGAAACUGGGGCUAAUACCGGAUAGGAAUCCUUGCUGCAUGGUGGGGGUUGGAAAGCUUCGGCGGUUUUGGAUGGACUCGCGGCUUAUCAGCUUGUUGGUGGGGUAGUGGCUUACCAAGGCUUUGACGGGUAGCCGGCCUGAGAGGGCGACCGGCCACAUUGGGACUGAGAUACGGCCCAGUCUCCUACGGGAGGCAGCAGUGGGGAAUAUUGCACAAUGGGCGGAAGCCUGAUGCAGCAACGCCGCGUGCGGGAUGACGGCCUUCGGGUUGUAAACCGCUUUCAGCAGGGGCGAAGCUUGUGGUGACGGUACCUGCAGAAGAAGCACCGGCUAACUACGUG